RNAcentral lists this long non-coding RNA (1097 nucleotides) under Lathyrus oleraceus (garden pea). RNAcentral describes it as "Pisum sativum (pea) long non-coding RNA (PSAT_LNC000247)". The record is from RNAcentral. Lineage: Eukaryota; Viridiplantae; Streptophyta; Magnoliopsida; Fabales; Fabaceae.
UGAAAUCUGACAGUUAUUAUCUUUGCUUAAAUUCUGAAGAAUUAUUAUUGUGUUUUAAAUGUUCAAAUUUAAUUAACCUGGAUAGGACUUAGGGGGAGCUUAGAAACCUCGCUCUAUGGACUAUUUGGCUCAGUGAGAGCUUACAAACCUCAGACCUUGAUGUCAACUAGUUACUUAAAUUAUCAAUCAUUAUUCUUAAAUGUUUAUGUUUGUCAUCAUUAAAAAGGAGAAGAUUGUUGUAACUUUGGUUUGUCACAUAUCCCUUAGGUUUUGAUGAUAACAAACUAUUUAAAGAACAAUUGGAUAUACUAAUGUAUGUUUAAGUGCGUAGGACCAUAGACUAAAAUUUCAUAUGGAAUCCAAGUAUUGAUUCUGAGUACGAACAUUCAAAGAGAAGCUUAAAGACUAAAAUCUGAUGGAUCAUAAGUUGAAGACCAGAUUCUGAAGAAGUCAACUUCUGAAGAGGUCAACUUCUGAAGAGGUCAACGUCUGAAGGUUAAAGUCUGAAGGAGUUAGCCUUUGAAGACUAGACUUCGAAAAAGUCUACUUCUGAUGAUCAGAAUCUGAGCUAGUCAAAACGCAAGGACAAGGGUGACUCUGAUGAGUCCUUAUAAACCUCUGAGUCUACUUUGUCACGUGAAGACCUAAGCUUUAUUUUCUUCAUAGAGUCUGUCGGGAUGCAACUGCUAAUUUCUUUUGUAGUAAAGGAUUUUCAAACUAGCCUUCAUCUACCUUGACAAUUUGGUGAAACAUCUCAACAUCUCUUUUAAAGCUUCUCAAAGGAAUCAAUUGUGUUUCAUCUUCAACAUCUCUUUUCUUCUCUAUUUAAGGAUCUAAAGACUUGAAGAAAAAUACACCAAUUUACACUCAAAGAGAAGUUAUUAUGUCAAAGCAAAAGCAGAACCUGGACUUAUAAUUUCUUAUCCUUGUAAACCUUAGAAUUCUCUAAGUUUUAAAAGAGUUUAUUUGUGUUGUAUUCAUUAUACGCCUCUGAUUGUAUAUCAAGUGUAUUUUUCCAAACAAUCAUUUAUCUAUUAGUUAGAUUGUUAGAAGUCUCUUACUAAGUGUUUGAGCAUUUGAAGUGUCUUGCUUGUGUG